CAUUAUUGAAUAAGCUUGGUUGGGUUGUAGCUGGCCUUCCAGGGCAUGUGCACACCUAACACCAACUUUUUACCACCUGUGCACCUUUUGUAGACANGGAUACCUCUCGAGGAAACUCGGUUUGAGGACUGUUGUGCGCGAGCCAGCUUUCCUUACACUUCCNGUCUAUUUUGUAGACAUGGAUACCUCUCGAGGAAACUCGGUUUGAGGACUGUUGUGCGCGAGCCAGCUUUCCUUACACUUCCUGUCUAUGUUUUAUAUAUGCCCCUAUUUGUAUGUCUAUAGAAUGUUAUUAAUAGGCUUCAGAUGCCUUUAAAAAUCUAUACAACUUUCAACAACGGAUCUCUUGGCUCUCGCAUCGAUGAAGAACGCAGCGAAAUGCGAUAAGUAAUGUGAAUUGCAGAAUUCAGUGAAUCAUCGAAUCUUUGAACGCACCUUGCGCUCCUUGGUAUUCCGAGGAGCAUGCCUGUUUGAGUGUCAUAAAAUUAUCAACCCUAUUCAGCUUUAUUGUUGAACUGGGCUUGGAUUUUGGGGGUUUGCGGGCUUCAAAAGUCAGCUCUCCUUAAAUGCAUUAGCGGGAUCUUUGUUACCUAGCUUUGGUGUGAUAAUUAUCUAUGCCGUUGCUUAAAGUAACUUGAAAUAGGAUCAUGCUUCAAAUUGUCUCUUGUUAGAGAACUAUUUAUUAUUUUGACCU
This 694-nucleotide ribosomal RNA is filed under the name Tricholoma sulphureum. RNAcentral describes it as "eukaryotic LSU rRNA". The stretch from base 327 to 480 matches the Rfam family "5.8S ribosomal RNA". Lineage: Eukaryota; Fungi; Basidiomycota; Agaricomycetes; Agaricales; Tricholomataceae. The record is from RNAcentral.